GACGAACGCUGGCGGCGUGCUUAACACAUGCAAGUCGAACGGUAAGGCCCUUCGGGGUACACGAGUGGCGAACGGGUGAGUAACACGUGGGUGAUCUGCCCUGCACUUUGGGAUAAGCCUGGGAAACUGGGUCUAAUACCGAAUACACCCUGCUGGUCGCAUGGCCUGGUGGGGGAAAGCUUUUGCGGUGUGGGAUGGGCCCGCGGCCUAUCAGCUUGUUGGUGGGGUGAUGGCCUACCAAGGCGACGACGGGUAGCCGGCCUGAGAGGGUGUCCGGCCACACUGGGACUGAUAUACGGCCCACACUCCUACGGGAGGCAGCAGUGGGGAAUAUUGCACAAUGGGCGCAAGCCUGAUGCAGCGACCCCGCGUGAGGGAUGACGGCCUUCGGGUUGUAAACCUCUUUCAAUAGGGACGAAGCGCAAGUGACGGUACCUAUAGAAGAAGCACCGGCCAACUACGUGCCAGCAGCCGCGGUAAUACGUAGGGUGCGAGCGUUGUCCGGAAUUACUGGGCGUAAAGAGCUCGUAGGUGGUUUGUCGCGUUGUUCGUGAAAACUCACAGCUUAACUGUGGGCGUGCGGGCGAUACGGGCAGACUGGAGUACUGCAGGGGAGACUGGAAUUCCUGGUGUAGCGGUGGAAUGCGCAGAUAUCAGGAGGAACACCGGUGGCGAAGGCGGGUCUCUGGGCAGUAACUGACGCUGAGGAGCGAAAGCGUGGGGAGCGAACAGGAUUAGAUACCCUGGUAGUCCACGCCGUAAACGGUGGGUACUAGGUGUGGGUUUCCUUCCUUGGGAUCCGUGCCGUAGCUAACGCAUUAAGUACCCCGCCUGGGGAGUACGGCCGCAAGGCUAAAACUCAAAGAAAUUGACGGGGGCCCGCACAAGCGGCGGAGCAUGUGGAUUAAUUCGAUGCAACGCGAAGAACCUUACCUGGGUUUGACAUGCACAGGACGCCGGCAGAGAUGUCGGUUCCCUUGUGGCCUGUGUGCAGGUGGUGCAUGGCUGUCGUCAGCUCGUGUCGUGAGAUGUUGGGUUAAGUCCCGCAACGAGCGCAACCCUUGUCUCAUGUUGCCAGCACGUUAUGGUGGGGACUCGUGAGAGACUGCCGGGGUCAACUCGGAGGAAGGUGGGGAUGACGUCAAGUCAUCAUGCCCCUUAUGUCCAGGGCUUCACACAUGCUACAAUGGCCGGUACAAAGGGCUGCGAUGCCGUGAGGUGGAGCGAAUCCUUUCAAAGCCGGUCUCAGUUCGGAUCGGGGUCUGCAACUCGACCCCGUGAAGUCGGAGUCGCUAGUAAUCGCAGAUCAGCAACGCUGCGGUGAAUACGUUCCCGGGCCU
RNAcentral lists this ribosomal RNA (1340 nucleotides) under uncultured bacterium. RNAcentral's name for it is "bacterial SSU rRNA". It matches the Rfam family "Bacterial small subunit ribosomal RNA", at positions 28 to 1381 of the family's 1533-position model. The record is from RNAcentral.